RNAcentral lists this ribosomal RNA (492 nucleotides) under uncultured bacterium. RNAcentral's name for it is "partial 16S ribosomal RNA". It matches the Rfam family "Bacterial small subunit ribosomal RNA", at positions 30 to 507 of the family's 1533-position model. The record is from RNAcentral.
AGUGAACGCUGGCGGUAGGCCUAACACAUGCAAGUCGAACGGCAGCACAGUAAGAGCUUGCUCUUACGGGUGGCGAGUGGCGGACGGGUGAGGAAUACAUCGGAAUCUACUUUUUCGUGGGGGAUAACGUAGGGAAACUUACGCUAAUACCGCAUACGACCUACGGGUGAAAGCAGGGGAUCUUCGGACCUUGCGCGAUUGAAUGAGCCGAUGUCGGAUUAGCUAGUUGGCGGGGUAAAGGCCCACCAAGGCGACGAUCCGGAGCUGGUCUGAGAGGAUGAGCGGCAAAAGUGGAGCGGAGACAGGGCCCGGACUCCUGCGGGAGGCAGAAGUGGGAAAUAUGGGACAAGGGGCGAAAGCCUGAUCCAGCCAUGCCGGGGGUGGGAAGAAGGCCUUCGGGUUGUAAAGCCCUUUUGGGGGGAAGAAAGGGCAGUAGGUUAAUCCCCUGCUGUUUUGACGGUACCAAAAGAAUAAGCACCGGCUAACUUCGUG